AAGCAAGCAACAAUGAGAAUCAUCUUUAAGAAAUCAUCGCUGUUAUAUUUAAUACAACUUCGAAUUUUGUCUUCCAACGCAUGAAGUGUGACAACAAAGGUUCCCAUAGGUAUCCGGGUUCGAUAUAGAAAUGCCUUGAGAUAGUUCACUUUAAGCUCUUCCAUAGACUCAAAAAUGCUGUCUUCAUUUCCAGCGUAACGUGCUUUGUGAAUAGGGCCAAUUGAAACAAUUCGAGGUGUGUAGGCUUUCAGAUUAGUUUCACGAAUGUCUGGUGGUACUCUAUAAAUUAAAUGCAUUGCAUAUCGACUCAAUACAUUUCUGGAGGUUCCACAUUUUGAAGCAUGUUGGUUAAUUUUGUCUCCAAACAUUGUCGUUCACUCAUUGCAUCACUUGUUUGUGCUUCCAUUUGGUUAAAAUUCUGUAGCGUUGAGAUUAAUAGAUCGACAUUAAUUGAUAACCAACCUGAUAGUUGGACCAAGUAUAAUAUUGAUAAAUUUCGUUAAAAUUUCCCUAGUUAUGCCACCAAGAAGAGGCAAAUUCAAAGGAUUAAAAUAAAAUGUGACAGAGACAUCGGAUGUCAUAUAUUAUGAAAAUUAUAGGGUAUACAACAAUUAAGAUAUGCGAAGGUAUGGGGGACUGUUUCCGGAUUCAUUAUAUUCAUUAUAUUUUUAUUAAAUUAAAAUACACGUGAUAACUUAAUAUAUUUUUAAAAAAAGUCACCUUUUGGAGAAAAAAAUUAUAUCUAUCUUUUUUUAAUAUUGUUCAAAAUAAUAUUUAUUUUUUAUUGACAGUUUUAGUAUAGUUAGCGAAAAAUUUGAAUUCGUGAUCUAUCUCUCCUUUUCUUAUCCCUCCAUCACUAGAUCAAUCUUAUAUUUCCUAAUCAAAAUAAUAUUACGUUUUUUUUUUUUUUUUCAAUUUGAUCCUUUUCUCUUUCUCAAUUAAAAAAAAUGUGUUCUUGUUUUUAGGGGUGUUGGUGAUGUAGUUUGGUUGCAUAAAAAAAUGGCUGCUGCAAUCAAUGUUGUAUAUACACUUUAAAUUUGAAUCCAAACUUUUAUUCAAAUUAUGGUCACCUUGAUGUUGCUUAUAAAUUAGAAGAUAACAAAAUGGAUUACUGUGUCAGUGUUUGACAUAAGCAUCUGCAUGCAGCAUUUCUAACUGCAGUAUGAAACAUCUCAUCAUGUAGCUAAGCAAAAGAAAAAAAGAAUGAAAUGUGUCAUUUUGGGUUAUACAAGAUUUCUUCCAAUAUUGUCAUACCAAAUCCAUGCUGCCUUAUGUCUGGGUUUCCAUAUCUUAGCUUACAGUUCUAGAUUGGACAUUGCCAUUGUGACUGUUACAAAUUUGUAGUUUUAUUAGGAGGAACUAAAAUGCUCUUAUCUCUUACAGGGAAGGUAACAAGUUUAGUAGCUAAAAAGGACUUGGCCAGAAAAAUAGAGGAAGCAUUAAGCAAGUCAAAUCUAUGAAGAAAGGGGUUAACGUUUGAAAAUCAGGAAAUUCUUCUUCAAAGAAGAGGCAAUCAAGUAAAAUGGUCAGUGCCACCAAAUCCACGAAUUCUAAACUCAAUGUUGAGGGGUUUAGGGGGAAAAAUUCAUCUCCAAGUAACAGAGAAUCAGGUUUGUAAAGUGGAUUGUGGUCCAUAUUGUACCGUGUAGGAAGUAAAUGGCUCUCGUUUUUGUAUUAGAUAAGACUUUUUUUUUUCUGCAGUAAAAAUGGUAUUAUAAUUUAAUUGUUUUAGUUCAUGCUUUUAUGUGCCUAGAAAAUAUAGCAGUUUCUGUUUUUAUCAUCUAUUGUCACGGUAGGGACUAAAAUAAGUGAAGAAGAAUAUUGUAUGGAUCAAAAUCAAAAGAUAGGACUAAAAAAAGUGUCAUAUUUACAGGAAUAGAAAACAUAUUUGGGCAAUUAUUUUAUUGCAUAUAUUGCUGAAAUUAAUCCAAUAUUUGUACCAUAUCUGUAGAUAACUAAUUAAGAAAUCUUUUAGUUCGCCUUUUUUUGUUCUUGAUUGUAGUCUAUAGCUCUAGGUAAUUGUUUGGUUAAAAGUUUUAGAUGUUUAUUUAUAGGGCUAAUUAUCAUUUUUGGUUCAUUAUUUUUGAGUUAUUUUUUUAUUUUGAUAGGUUUAAUUUUAAAAGUUUUAUUUUAAUUCUUUAUGUGUUUUUGAAAGUUUUAUUUUAAUACAUUAAGUUUUAAAUUUUUUUUGGUUAUUUAUACUUUUUGAAACUUUUAUUUAAAUAUUUUUUUAUUUUCUAUUAAAAAUAUUAGUGUUUUGUCAAUCUUUUUAAUAUUGAUGUAUGGGGCUAAAUAUAAGUAACACUAAAUGAGUUUAAUUAAUAUCUUCCGUUUGCUUUGUUUAAAAAAAACACUAAAGUUUAGGCUUGACUUGUCUUAUUUAGAAAAACUAAAGCUUAAGUUCGGCUUGUCUUACCUUAUUCAAUUCACUUAUAACUUAAUUUUCUUAAUUUCAAAAGGAAAUUAUUAAAUUAUUUAACUUAACCAAUUUAGUAUUUAAUAAAAAAAUUUAAUAACCUAGAAAUAAAAAUAAGUAUUAAACAUGAGAUAUGAUAUGCUGAGAUUUAUGUAAUUUUAAUUUUCUAUGUUUUAUAUUUAUAUAUAUAUAUAUAUAUAAACGAAUUAUUCAUUAGUCAAAUUUGAGAAGUUUGCAAAUAUUUUGAGUCUUUUAUCCCCUUAAUUGUAACACUUUCACCCUCAUCUUAUUUUUAUUAAUUGUUUUGUCAUUAUUUCUAAUCAACAAUGUAAUGGAAAACUUAAAUUAGGAGAGACACAAUUAAGAAUAUUGAGUAUAUUCACUUAUAAUUUUUAAUAAUUUAUUUGGAACAAAGUGAAACAAUUGUAAAAAUAUUCAAAAUACACUUAAAAGUAGUUAUUAGGGCAAAUUAAUAGAAGUAAUUAAAAGUGUGAGAAAAAUACAACUCUAAGAUUCAAAUAGUAAUCAGAAUAAUAAAAUAUUAUUUAAGAUUUUUUGGAAUUAAUUAAAAUUUUUGUGUAAAAUGAUGAAAAUGUCCUUAAUUGACUGCAAAUGUAGAACCGUAGACUUUUUAACCAAAAUAAAAUUUAAGAAAUACUCUACAUUUUAAUUUUAAUUAUAAAAAUAAUUUAAAGCUUAAAAAUCUAAAAAAUUCAACAUCUAAUUUUUUAACUAAAGUGAUUUAUUUCAUAUUUUCAAUAACAAUAUAAUAAUGACUAAAUAGUUUGUUGGUCAAAUAUAUAUAAUAUAUUUUUAGAUUUAAUUUUGUUCUCUUAUUGUUUUUGAAUUUAAUUUAGUCAUCUAAUUUUUUAAAAAAAUUCAAUUUGUACAUGCGAUCUAAAUUGAAUCAUGGUUUUCAAGAGAUCACAUUUUAUGAUGGCUUAAAAUCAUUUAGUGGUGAUUUUAAAUCUCUAAAAAAUAUAUAUUUAGAUGGCAGGACAAUAUUUGCAUUACACAACCACGGUUUUAAAAAUCAAAUGAUCAAAUUCAACAAAAAAAAAAAGACUAAAUCAAACUAAUCUUAAAAAUAAGAAGAUGAAAUCAAAUAAAAAAUAGAGGAAAAAAAUUAAUUUAACCUAUAAUAUAAAUAAUAUAUAUUAUGUACCAUUAAUAAAUAAAAUAAUUUUUAGGAAAUGAAAUCGUAUACACAAUAACAACAAUAAUAAGUAGCCAUAAAUAUAAAGCGUAUACAAAAUUAAUACAGAUCAAUAUAGAGAGUAAAUGAAAGUUAUAUUGCAACAAAGUAAUUAAUGUUAAGAACGAUAGUAGAAUUUUAAUUAUUUGAUGAAAGAAAAGCAACAAGGUACUAAAUCACAUUACAGAAGUUUCCUUCCCCCAAUUGACUUCCCUCUUAACGCCCAAAUCCUCAGCUACCUGCAUAUAACAAAACAUAUUAUUUCCUUCACAAUAGUUAAGUAUUGAUAUAUAUGAUCAUUUCUUACCUUAAUUAAAACAGUGAGAUUAUUGAACAUAUAGUCUGAAUCAAUGUGAGCAAAAGAAGCACAAUUGCAGCAACUGUAGAUGCUAUUUUCCAAGGAGUGUUGAAGUACUCGUGUAUGAAUAUAGCCUUGUACUUGUUGCGAGGGUUUUCAUAGAAACCAUUUAAGCUAUCGCAGAGAGAGUAGUAGUGUGAAUUAAAACGUGGCACAGCAAGAUUUGAGUCCAGAUUGUUAACCAUUGUAGCCACUUUGUUAGCAUCACCCAUCCAAUUGACAAUAAUUUUGUUAUCAACUAGUACAUUCACAUCUUUUUCAGUGUUGAUAAGAAAGUUUAGAAUCACUAGGUAUUGAGUAAUGCUGUUUGUAUCAUAUGAAAGGUGACAUUCCUCAAAUGUCAAUAUAUUCCUGAAGAACACUUCUGAAUUGUCAGUUAUAUUCAAGAUUGGCAUUGUCAACACACCCUCAUCGGAAUAGGUCAUGUCAAGUAAGCAUUCAUUUUCAUUUGGACUGACCUUGAAUUUAAGACCUGCCUCCCGUAGUUGGCUUGCACUGUAUACAUGUUUUAUACCUUUGCAUUCUUUUUGUUCUCUAGGAACAAAUUUUGAUGACGAUAUUAUACUAGUUCUCAUAAGAUCGGUGAAGUGCUUUGGGGACUCUGUUGGACACGAUGUUGUUCCAUAUCCCACAUGCUUCAAACAGUUGAAAGAAAUCUGAAGAAAGGUGGGAAAUUCCUGAUUCAUACCAGCGAUGUUGUAAAGUUGUUCAAGAACAAAGAAAGGAAGCUGAUUUUCUAGUAGUAUCAAGUCCCUCCAAAUUUGCAUUUGCAUCCAGUCUUUUAGCAACACAGGGUCCUUUCCCUGCCAAUCUCCAUAUGUAUGACAUCUCAAAAAAUGCUCGAUUAUGAAGCAAGCAUCAAUUAGAAUCAUCUUUAAGAAAUCAUCGCUGUUAUAUUUAAUAUGCACUGCAUAACACCUUCGAAUUUCGUCUUCCAAGUUUUGAAGUGUGUCAACAAAGGUUCCCACAGGUACUUGGGUUCGAUUUAGAAAUGCCUUGAGAUACUUCACUUUAAGAUCUUCCAUUGACUCAAAAAUGCUGUCUUCCUUUCCAGCGUCACGUGCUUUGUGAAAAGGGCCAAUUGAAACCAUUUGAGGUGUGUAGGCUUUGGGAUUAUUUUCACGAAUGGCUGGUGGUACUCUAUAAAUGCAUUGCAUAUCGAAUCCAUACAUUUCUGGAGGUUCCACAUUUUGAAGCUCGUUGGUUAAAUGUUGUCUCCAAACAUUGUUGUUUACUUAAUGAAUCACUUGUUUGUCCUUCCAUUUUGAUAAAAUUCUGUAGCUAUGAGAUUGGUAGACAUUGAUAGCCAACAUGAAGUUAGAUCAAGUAUAAUAUUAAUAAAUUUGUUUAAAAUUUCCCUAGUUAUGGAACCAAGAGGCAAAGAUAUACUAAUAAAAAAGGACUCAGACAGAAUAUGACAGAAAUGUUGGAUGUAAUUAAUAGAUUUUAAAAAUUAUAGGUUACAGUGCAGUUAAGAUAAAGCAUAAAGAAUAAUUGUAAUAUUAGUAUAGCAAAGAAUUAACUAAAAAAAAUGUCGACAAAUGUUUCAAACAAUGGUGGAUCAACCUACAAAGGUACGGGACUAUUCUCUCCAAAGAUAUAUUACAUCACUCAUUUUCUUAUUUCUACACUAACCCCUUAAUAUUUAAUAUUUAAAAAUAUUAUGCUAACAUCUUUUAUAUAUUAUACUGACUUCCUUAAUAUUUGAAAAACAUUACACUAAUUCUUCUUUAUAUAUUAUACUGACAUCCUCUAUAAAUAAGCGACUAUUGUAAUCAUUAUAAAAGAUAUUGUUUGUAAUUUAAGAAAUCUCAAGGAGUGUUAAUAUAAUUGUUCCAGUUCUUUUUAUUUGAAUAUAUUCAGUAAUUUUUAUCUUCCCCCAUAAAAAAUGGUGUUAUCCUCAUCAAACUCUUGUUUUAAAAAAUGGAUAUAAAAGGUUAUUAGAGAUUUUUGCCCCAUCAUGAUCAUUGUAAUUUUUAAAAGUUUGGCUUUUAAUUUUUUUAAUCAUGACAUUAUAUAUUUAAUAAAAGUGUGUAAUAUUUUUUUUUAUAAAAUUUAUAAUUUUUUUACUCCACUGAAAAAUAAAUAAUUGACAUUAAAAUAAAUGAAAAAUAAUUUAUCUGCCAAUUUGUUUUUUAAAAAAACAUUAUUGUAAAUAUAAGAUUUUUUUUUAUCUAAUUAAUUAGUGUGACUUUCAACUUUUGGAUUAAUUAAAUUCAAAUAAAGAAAUGAUUUUAUUUAUCUUUAUUGAUUCCGGUUCAAACAAGAAUAAUUGAAGAUGUUUCAAGUCUGUUUCUUUUACCACUCAAGGUAGCUUCUUAGUUAAUUAUUGUUUUGAUAAUGGUAACAAUUGGAUUUAAAAAAAAUCAAACAAAAGCAUGCACAUGAUAGAAAUUAUAUUGGUUCUUUGAACAAAAGGAAGCAAACAAGAAAAUAUAAUUCCGAAAUUGGGGAUAAUUCAUUUGAAGAUACAUCACCAAAAUUGGAUAGAGUCCACCAUUUGUAUUAAAGGGAGACUUAAUACACAUGUUUUUUAAAGAUUGGAGGAUUAAAAUGAAAUAUAAAUGUAUAAGUCACUAUUACAAAAUAUUGUUUUUAUGACGCAUAAUUUAUGACGGUUCUCAAGAAUCGAUUUAGUAUAUGACGUGAUGGUAAUUUUAUAAGAUGGUUAUAAUAGUAUCCGUUGUAGAAGUCACAGUUAUAAGUUAUAUUCACAGACAGUUAGUAAUCGUCAUAGAAAGUUAAUGAUGUAAUUUUUAUUCUAAGAUGAUUAUAGAUACAACCGUUAUAGAAAAAUGAAUUUAUUAAGACAAUGGGUCUUCUAAGGUGUCAUCUAUAGAACACAUUCUAAAACAGUUGUUUAUAUAAUCAUCUUAAUAUGUCUUAUUUUAUAAGACAUGUGGAUAACCAUCUUAAUAAAUGAUGCACUAUUUUAUGACACCUUUAUUUAAGACGGUUAAAAACCAUUAUAAAAUGGUUUGAAGAACCGACUUAGAUUCAUGUUUGUGUAGUAAUGAAUUUAUAAUCAAAUUUUACCGAAAAUAUAAGAAUUGAAAAUAUAUUUCAUAAAAAUAAAAAAAUAAAAUCGGAAGGAGAGACACUUCAAAAUUAUCGUUAAUGCUACAAUACAUGUCUUGACUAAAUAAAGCAAAAAGGAGGAGAAGGAACCUGAUGCUGAAAUUGUUGAGGAAUAUAUAAGAUUAAUAUUCAGUUCUGAUUGAUCUCAUUUUGCCGGAAUGCCUCCAGCUUUAUAUAGUAAUAUUCCUUGCAGGCGUUCUUCAAAGUCAACACCAUCAUGUAUGAACAGAAUUCGAAAGCUGUGAUUACUUGCUCUUUGUUAAUGUAUUUAGUCAAUUGUCGAACAAUUGGCUCUUAGUAUAGCUAUAAUUAAUUGCAGCUGUCACAUGCAUUCAAAUAUGUCAUGAAAUGUAAUUAAUAAUUUUUUUUUUAAAUUAUAGGGUAUAAUGCAAUUUGGAUAAGAGAUACAAAAUAAAUGUAAUAUUGACAUAGAAACAAAAUAAAAAAGUAUUGAUCAAUGUUCCAAACGAGAAUAUUAACUAUUGUAAAUAUUGUCCAAUAAUUUUAACGUUUUAGUUAUUUACUCAUAUAUUUAGUACAUUUUUAUUAAAUAAAAUACAAGUCAUUAAUUACUCAAUUAUAUUACUCAUAUAUGUUGCCAUGAUAUGUUAAUGAUGACAUAAAUUAUAUGGAGAUGAGAAUCUAUAUUCAUCUAAUUUUUAAAAUUAUUUUAAUUUGAUGGUGCUGUCUAAAUUGAUCAAAUGGAAUUAGGAAACCUUAUUAAAUUUAUAUAGUAUUUUAAAAUCACUUAUUAAAAUCAUAGGGUAUACCGCAGUUAAGAUAAAGCAUAAAGAAUAAUUGUAAUAUUAGUAUAGAAAAGAAUUAACUAAAAAAAAUGUCGACAAAUGUUUCAAACCAUGGUGGAUCAACUACAAAGGUACGUGACAGUUCUUUCCAAAGAUAUAUGACAUCACUCAUUUUCUUACUUCUACGCUAACUCCUUAAUAUUUAAUAUUUUAAAAAAAUUAUGCUAACAUCUCUUAUAUAUUAUAUUAAGUUCCUUAAUAUUUGAAAAACAUAGCACUAAUUCUUCUUUAUAUGUUAUACUCACAACCUCUGUAAAUAAGUAAGACUAUUGUAAUCAUUUUAAAAAAAAUUGUUUGUAAUUUGAACAAAUCUCAAGGACUGCUAAUAUAAUUGUUCUAGUUAUUUUUAUUUGAAUAUAUUCAGUUAUUUUUAUUUUUUCCCCAUAAAAAAUGGUGUUAUCCUUAUCAAACUGUUUUUUUUAAAAUGGAUAUAAAAGGUUAUUAGAGAUUUUUGACCCCAUCAUGAUAAUUUCAAUUUUUAAAAGUUUGGUUUUUAAUUUUUUUUAUCAUGACACUAUAUAUUUUAUUUAAGUGUUUGAUAUUUUUUCAUAAAAUUUAUAAUUUUUUUUACUCCACUGAAAAAUAAAUAAUUGACAUUAAAAUAAAUGAAAAUAUAUAAAAAUAGAGUAUUGCAAUUAGGUUAAAACAAAUAAAAUUAAUAAUUUACAUUAAAAUAAAUUGAAAAUAAUUUAUCUAUCAAUCUUAAAAAAAACAUUAUUGUAAAUAUAAGUUAUUUUGUUUAUCUAAUCAGUUUGACUUUCAACUUUUGGAUUAAUUAAAUUCAAAUAAACAAAUUAUUUUUUUUAUCUUUAUUGAUUCCUGUUCAAAUAAGAAUAAUUGAAGAUGUUUCAAGCCUUUGUUCUACCACUCAAGGUAGCUUUGUAGUCCUGAUCCUUGUUUUAAUAAAAGUAACAAUUGGAUAAAAAAAAAUCAAACAAAAGCAUGCACACGAUAGAAAUUAUCUUGGUUCCUUGAAUAAAAUGAAGCAAACAAGAAAAUAUAAUUCCAAAAUUGGGGAUAACUCAUUUGAAGAUACAUCACCAAAUUUGGAUAGAAUCCACCAUUUGUAUUCAAGGGAGACUUAAUACACAUGUUUUUUUAAAGUUUGAGGAUUAAAAUGAUCAAUAUAAAUGUAUAAGAUUAUAAUCAAAUUUUACCGAAAAUAUAAGAACUGAAAAUAUAUUUUAUCAAAAGAAAGAAAAGAAAAUCAGAAGGAGACACUUCAAAAUUAUCGUUACGGCUACAAGAUAAUACAUGUCUGACAAUAUAUAUAUAUUCUUGUAUGGAUCGAAAUGAAAAAUAUAGUAACUAUUUAACUAAAUAGAGCAAAAAGGAGGAGAAGGACCCUGAUGCUCAAAUUGUUGAGGAAUAUAUAAAACUGUUUAAUAAUUUUUUUUAAUAAAAUUUAUAAAUUAUUUUUUUUACUCCACUGAAAAAUAAAUAAUUGACAUUAAAAUAAAUGAAAAAUAUAUAAAAAUAGAGUAUGACAGUUAGGUUACAACAAAUAAAAUUAAUAAUUGACAUUAAAAUAAAUUAAUAAUAAUUUAUCUAUCAAUUUUAAAAAAACAUUAUUGUAAAUAUAUGAUAUUUUGUUUAUCUAAUUAGUGUGACCUUUAACUUUUGGGUUAAUUAAAUUCAAAUAAAGAAAUGAUUUUAUUUAUCUUUAUUGAUUCCGGUUCAAAGAAGAAUGAUUGAAGAUGUUUCAAGUCUUUCUUCUACCACUCAAGGUAGCUUUGUAGUCCUGAUCCUUGUUUUUAAUAAAAGUAACAAUUGGAUUAAAAAAAAAAAAAGCAUGCACCCAAUAGAAAUUAUCUUAAUUGGUUCCUUGAACAAAAUGAAGCAAACAAUAAAAUAUAAUUCCAAAAUUGGGGAUAAUUCAUUUAAAGAUACAUCACCAAAAUUGGAUAGAAACCAUUAAAGGGAGACUUAAUUAACACACAUGUUUUUUAAAGUUUGAUGAUUAAAAUGAUCAAUAUAAAAGUAUAAGAUUAUAAUCAAAUUUUACCGAAAAUAUAAAAAUUGAAAAUAUAUUUUAUCAAAAUAAAAAAAAAAAAAUUAGAAGGAGAGACACUUCAAAAUUAUCGUUAAUGCUACAAGAAGAUACAUGUCUGACCAUAUAUAUAUAUAUAUGUAUGUAUGAAUUGAAAUGAAAAAUAUAAUGACUAUUUAACUAAAUAGAGCAAAAAGGAGGAAAAGGAACUGAUGCUCAAAUUGUAGAGGAAUAUAUAAGAUUAAUCUUCAGCAAUUCACCAUGUCUGAUUGAUCUCAUUUUUCCGGAAUAAUGCUUCCAGUAGUUCUUCAAAGUCAACACCAUCAUGUAUGGGUAGAAUUCGAAAGCUGUGAUUACUUGCUCUUUGUUAAUAUAUUUAGUCAAUGAUAAUAUUAUUGUAUGUUCUUUCCGGCUGGAUUAAUGUAUGAUUCAAUUGUCGAACAAUUGGCUCUUAGUAUAGCUAUAAUAAAUUGCAGCUGUCGCAUGCAUUCAAAUAUAAUAUGACAGACAUAUGUCAUGAGAUGUAAUUAAUAAUUUUUUUAAAAUUAUAAGGUAUAACGCAAUUUGGAUAAGAAAUACAAAAUAAAUGUAAUAUUGACAUAGAAACAAAAUAUAUAAAAAAAAUAUUGAUCAAUGUUCCAAACGAGAAUAUUAACUAUUGUAAAUGUUGUCCAAUAAUUUUAACGUUUUAGUUAUUUACUCAUAUAUUUAGUACAUUUUUAUUAAAUAAAAUACAAGUAUUUAAUUAAUCAAUUAUAUUAUUUUUGUUUUUUUUACAUAUUCACUCUUGAAAGAAAAAACUCUAUUAACAUGAUUGUAUAAUUUAGAUCCCUUAAAAUUUUGUAAUACACAUUUGGUUUCUCAAAUUUUUAUAAUUUACCAAUUUUACUCUACUAUUAGUGUGUUGUCUAUUUUUAACAAAAAAUAUGUUGACAUGAUAUGUUAAUGAUGACAUAAAUCAUAUGGAGAUUAGAAUAUAUAUUCAUGUGUUUGUUAGAAGUUAAAGACUUAACUCAUUUUUAAGAAUUUAUUUUUUACGUGUUUCUUCAUCAUCCUAUUCACAUAUAAAGGAACAGCAAUCUUACAUGUUUGAGAUCGAUCAUUUCUCUUUUUUUCUUAUUCAACGUCAUUUAUUUAUUUAUUAAUAUUUUUAUUUUUAAAUUAAAAUAAAUUUAAAAAUUCCCAAGAAUUAAAAUUAUGUACCAAAUAUUUUUUUUUAACUAAAGUGAUUUAUUUCAUAUUUUAAUAACCAUAUAAUAUUGGUUAAAUUAGUUUGUUGGAUCUCUAUUUUAUUUUUUAGGUUUGAUAUGCUUUUUUAAUUUUUUUUAUUCAAUUUAAUUCUCUAAUUUUUUAAAUUAUUUUAAUUUGAUGGUGCUGGUUAAAUUGAUCAAAUGAAAUUAAGAAACCUUACUUUAUAUAGUAUUUUAAAAUCCCUUAGUAACGUCACAAAACACAUAUUUAGAUGGUAGAAUUUAGAGGACAGAAUGAGUCAAAUUAUCUAAGAUAUUUAGAUUAUACUGAUUUUGGAAUAUAUAGUUACUUUGUUUAUUUGUCAAAUGGAUUAUAAUUUAAUUAUUAAUAUGCUUCCCUUUAACUUGCAAAUCUAUUCUACUUACCAUAAAGAAAUCAAGCUAAGCUAUGUUAGUUUGAUGACGAAUACUUCGUGAGAAAAAUAUAUAUUCUUGCUGGGAGCAGAGUGAAAACUCCAUGUUAAUACCACUUCAAAUUGUUUGAUUUUAGUUUAACUUAGUACGUAAUAAUUCAAGCGUGAUGUGAAAGAUAAAAUUGAACAAAUAAUACCAUCCAGAGCAUAUUUUGCUUCAAAUUUGCCGUUGAUGUAAAAUUUAAUCUACAAAAAUUAAAUUGAAAAAUUUUAACUAAAUUUAUUGAGGCAUUAAAAUGAUAUGUUUCUACAUGAUGAGAAACAAUUUGAAUGACAUUGAAGUUGUGUUGGAUCAGCAUGCUAGGUGUCAUUGGUGGUGUUUAUAUAGAGUCAUGCAUAGAUGAGUCACACAGUAAAGGUUGAAUGAUCAAUAACUAUUAGAUACAAGUUGAAUUGAAUAGGAGAGGGUGCUUACGCAGAACCACGCCAAUCCACCGAUGCAUGCACCAGUGCCAAGACCAAAAGCAUAUGCAGGGUGAGAAGGACAAAAAAAAAACUAAAGUAACUCACACACCUUGCCAUAAAAACUAUAGUACAAUUUAUUAGGUAGUAUAAGACUGUUAAGUAUCUAUGAUCUUAAUUAAUCUUCAUACAAUAUAUAUUUAAGUUUUUCAAGGUUAUCAAAUUAGGAUUUGAAUUGUGAAUUGUUGAGCUAAUGAAUAAUUACUUCAAAUAUCAAUGGUCAAUGCAAAAAAAAUAUACAAAUAAAUAAAUAAAAUAACUUAAACAGAAGUAUUGCAGAAGAAAAUUAUUAGUUAUAUGAGUUUUAUGAAGCCUUUAUUUUAUAAGAAAGAAAAUGAAGCAAUUGAAUAACUAAAUAGAACAUAUGUGUUCAAUGAGUGAAUGACAAAUAAAGUAGUGAAAUAAAGUAGUGAAAAUAAGUUCAGAAAGUAUUUCUUUAAGUUUUUUUUCAUGCUAAAAUUUAAGCUUAUAUAUCUUAUCAGUUUUUUCAUGAGAAAUGGUGAAAGUAGAAAGAGAAAGAAAAAAAUUAAUGAAUCAUUGAAUUGUAUGAUUCGUAUUGAAGAUAUGAAAUUGCAUAGAUUCAUUCAUAUAUUGUGAGAUGUGAAGUUAUAUAAUACGAAUAAAUAACUGAAUCAUAUUGAAUUGUAAUAUUUGAAUUGUGCGUGAAAUUGUAAGAUUACAAUUACUAUAGCAAUAACAUAUAGUAAAACAAUAUACAUACAUACAUAAGGAUGCCUUUGAACCCGUUGUGCCCAACCAAACACGGUAAGAUAUAUUAAUUGAUUCAAAAUGUACAAGUUUUUUUUUUUUACAAGCAUUCAAAACGUACAAGAACGAAGGAAGACAAUAUAUUUUGCUUGAUUUAUUUAUUCCUAAGUUCCCCUUGGUUUGAAUUAUUGAUUACUUUACAUUAACACAAGCAAAAUGACUAUAUCAUUAAUCCAAGUUCCGGGCUAGAUAGAGUGGCAUAGCACACAACUCCCAUAGAUUUUUCAGGGGCUUUUAUUAUUGAAGGGUCUCCCAAAAUUAAUGGAGAUUGUGGAAAUGGCUUGGUCCUGAAGGAGGAAUAAAGCCUUUUAGAAGGAAAUUGGAACCUUUACCUGAAUCCAUUAGCAUCAUAGAAGCUCCUUUUUUGUUAUUUUCUUGCUCCAUAGACUGAAAAUUUGGUCGAGUUGCACACACACUGGUAUUGUUUGCUAAUAACUUAUUAUUUAUCAGUUGUGACUCGGCUCGUUCGCUCACAAUAGUUAAGUGUGUGUGUAUAUAUAUAUAGAUCAUUUCUUACCUUAAUUAAAACAGUGAGAUUAUUGAACAUAUAGUCUGAAUCACUGUGAGCAAAAGAAGCACAACUGCAGCAACUGUAGAUGCUAUUGUCCAAGGAGCGUCGAAGUACUCGUUUAUGAAGAGUCUGAACCUAGCCUUGUACUUGUUGCGAGGAUUUUCAUAGAAUUCAUUUAAGCUAUUGCAGAGAGAGUAGUAGUGUGAAUUGAAGUCUGGCAUUGCAAGAUUUGAGUCCAGAUUGUUAACCAUUGUAGCCACUUUAUUAGCAUCACCCAUCCAAUUGACAAUAAUUUUGUUAUCAACUAGUACAUUCACAUCUUUUUCAGUGUUGAUAACAAAAUCUAGAAUCACUAGGUAUUGAGUAAUGAUGUUUGUAUCAUCUGAAAGGUGACAUUCCUCAAAUGCCAAUAUAUUCCUGAAGAACAUUUCUGAAUUCUCAGUUAUAUUCAAGAUUGGCAUUGUCAAAACACCCUCACUAGAAUAGGUCAAGUCAAGUAAGCAUUCAUUUUCAUUUAGACUGACCUUGAAUUUAAGACCUGCCUCCCGUAGUUGGCUUGCACUGUAUACAUGUUUUAUUCCUUUGCAUUCUUCUUCUUCUCUAAGAACAAACUUUGAUGACGAUAUUAUACUAGUUCUCAUAAGAUCGGUGAAGUGCUUUGGGGACUCUGUUGGACACGAUGUUGUUCCAUAUCUCUCAUGCUUCAAACAGUUGAAAGAAAUCUGAAGAAAGGAGGGAAAUUCCUGAUUCAUACCAGCGAGGUUGUACAGUUGUUCAAGAACAAAGAAAGGAAGCUGAUUUUCUAGUAGUAUCAAGUCGCUCCUAAUUUGCAUUCGCAUCCAGUCUUUUAGCAACACAGGGUCCUUUCCCCGCCAAUAGUUGUAUCUAUAGAGUCUCAAAAAAAGCUCAAUUAUGAAGCAAGCAUCAAUUAGAAUCAUCUUUAAGAAAUCAUCGCUGUUAUAUUUAAUACGCACUGCAUAACAACUUCGGAUUUUGUCUUCCAACGCAUGAAGUGUGACAACAAAGGUUCCCACAGGUACUUGGGUUCGAUUUAGAAAUGCCUUGAGAUAGUUCACUUUAAGCUCUUCCAUUGACUCAAAAAUGCUGUCUUCAUUUCCAGCGUAACAUGCUUUGUGAAAAUGGCCAAUUGAAACAAUUCGAGGUGUGUAGGCUUUGGGAUUAGUUUCACGAAUGUCUGGUGGUACUCUAUAAAUGCAUUGCAUAUCGAAUCCAUACAUUUCUGGAGGUUUCACAUUUUGAAGCAUGUUGGUUAAUUUUGUCUCCAAACAUUGUUGUUCAUUCAUUGUAUCUCUUGAUUGUCCUUCCAUUUGGUUAAAAUUCUGUAGCUUCGAGAUUAAUAGAUCGACAUUAAUUGAUAACGAACAUGAAAUUGGACCAAGGAUAAUAUUGAUAAAUUUCGUUACAGUUUCCCUAGUUUUUUUAAGAGAGCAAUAAAAUUUCCCUAAGAGACAAUAAAAAGGACUCAAACAUUACAAAGGCUUUAAAUGAAGGUAAUAGAUUUUGUUAAGUUAUAAGGGUAUACCACAAUUAUGUAAAACAUACAAAAUAAAUGUAUAUUAGAAUAAUUUUUUAAAGAAUAAAAUGUCGACCAAUGUUCCAAAAUUAGAAUAUUAACUGCCGAAAUAUUGUCCAAUAAGUUUAACUUUUCAGUUAUUUUAUCAGUCUUUACAUUUUCAUUUCCAUUAAUUAUAAAACAUGUAAUUGCUCUUUUUUUUGUUUUUUAUACACUCAAUUUAUAUAUAUAUGCUUUUUAUAUGUUUCAAAAUAAUAUGAAUUACUACUACUAUUAUCUUGUGAGUUAUGUCCUUGUCUAUACCCAAUUCUCUAAUUAUUUUUACAUUCUUUUAGGAGUAAAUAAUUAUAUAUGUCAAAAAAUAAUAAUUGCGUUCAAAAUAUGUGCUUUUAUAAUUUAUACAUGUCAUAGAAAAGAAAAAUAAUAGCGGAAAUAAUAUUAAAAAGUUUUUUUUGUUUCUUUAGAACUUAUAAAGUUAGCUUUAAUACAAUGAGACACAAGAAAUAACUGCAGUAAAAAUCAACACCUAAAUACGAAGUCAAGAGUUUAAAUUGUAAAGUCACCACGUUGAAGAAAGUUAUACCAAAUUAUCAGCUUGGAAAUUACGUGAAAAAUCAAUAUGCAUUGAAAAAAAUAAAAAUUAUAAUUAAAUAAAUAUUUAAUUUUUUUGUCUCUAAUAAUGUUUUUUAUUUAUUUUAGUUCCCCUAAAUUUUGGUCACAUUUCGCGUGCCUUGAUUUUAUUUUUUUGGGCUCUUUUGUUUAUAUAUAUAUAUAUAUAUAUAUAUAUAUAUAUAUAUAUAUAUAUAUAUACACACACAAACACACUAAAGGAACCGCUAGCUGAGCCUAGUGAUGAUAAUUUGGUUAGUAUGAAUAAAAUGAUAAGUUAAAAUAACAAUUUAACUAUUAUACAAAAAAAAUAUUUAAAAUAACAUGAUCUUUAUGUGUGCAUGAAAAAAAAAUUAGUAAUUUAUAAUUAGAUAAUAAUGUAGAAUUAUUUUAAGAUUAUCUAGUUCCUCUAUGUAUGAUUUUCUCACAUUUAUUUUCAUUUGAAUACUCUCUUUUCAUAAAAAGGUGAAUUUCAUAGCUUCUAACACGCAUAUAGGUGAAUUCCAAGUAAACCGAACUUCAGAACAUGAAUUGAAACAAAGCACAAUCAAUCAAAACUAAUACCAGUAUAGAAAUACACAUAUUCAGUGUGAAGUCACAGGGUCAAAGAAAACUCACUCAAUUAGAACUUCAGAAGCAGAGUACAACAAUCUCUUCUGUGCCUCUUUCAAGGACUCUUAAUGCUUCUUUAUUUUAAUGAGUUUUCUGUUCCUUCUUAUCAUUUCUCUGCCUCUUUGCUUCCCUUUUACGUGCAUGUCUAUUUUUUUCAUUGUUAAUUGUUAUUUAUAUUCUUGCUCCUUCUACCCUCCAUUCUUUGCGUGUUCUGCACCUCUUCUCAAGUUCUGAUGCUCGCUCUUUUUUCAUUCGUAUCAAAUUUAUCUAUUUUCACUCUUUCUUUUGAACAAAUUAACCAAUUAACUUUGAUUCCCAAUCAAAUUUACAACUCUCCCCAUCUUCGGUAAUAGCAUAUGCAUAGUUUAAAAAAGGGUGAGUUUGAUACUUACCCAUUUCAAUCUGUUAUUUGUUCAGUAAUAUUUUCUAACUAAUCAAUGCACAUGUCCUUUUUAUUUAUUUGACGUCAAAGUACUGGAUUUCAUUCCAUCAAAGAAAAGGAAUCAUUUACAUCUUUAGCAAUAAUAGAGUUCACGCCACGAGGCAUUUCAUCAAUACAUUUCCUGAAAAUUUGAAGACAAGGAAGCAAGAUUACGUGUUGCCUUCUAUACGUGUCAAAUUAAACUAUUAAUUAUUUCAAGAGGAAUGUCAGCUAUAAUACUUACUUUCUAACAUUCUCUAAUCGAUUUCAUUGAAAUUUAUUUAAAAUUAUUAAAUUUCGGUGGAUUCCACUUUUAAAUCUUGAUAAAGACCAAAAUUAAUGAUUUUUUUUAUAGAUUUCAAUGACUGAGUAUUAAAAAUAGAAUGCACUAGUAUUUAUUUUAUUAAUGGGAAAUAUGAAAACACAAUAACAAACUCUAUAAUAGAUUAAUAAAUAACAGUCUCUUAAACUUGUAAGAAUCUUGAGAAGCGCCAAUGAAAUAUAGAAAGCAAAAUAGAAAUUAAGAAGAAGAAAAAAAAAAGAACAGAGACACAAUUUGUUUAACGUACAAAAUCUUUCAAUGCAAAGGUAAAACACCAGGGGUCGUCCAGACUAAGAAAUAAUUCUACUUUAAUCAAUGAAGAUAUAAGAGAACCUCAAAACUUGCUACAAUCUCAAAUCAAACCAAACCUCCAAUUAAUAUAAUAGAAACAAAAAAAAACCCAAAAUAUAUAACAAAUAAUGCGAAACACUUAUCUCUAUCUAUAGAUAUCUUUUUCGUGAUCCAACCUAACAAUUUGAAGUAUCAUGCGCGUAGAACAUGUUGUUCAAAAAUCAAUCCAAUCCAACGGUAAAGGAAUCCAUAGUUGUAAUAUGAAAAAUGCUCUUCAGCGGGUAUUCAAAAAAUCACAAUGAUUUUUCCUCUCCUUUUUCUCUUACCUAUUUUUUCCUCUCAAAUGAAUCUCUCUUUAAUGUGACCCCUCUUUACUUAAAUAAGUGAAACAUACGAAUUUUCUCAUUUGAAUCUUUACUCCACAUACUAAGAAAGCCGAAACUACAUAUAAUCAUCAUUAUUUGAGGCAAAUAGCGCAUCAAUUUCUCAAACUACAUAUAAUCAAUUGUUGUUAAUAAAAGCGAGUAGCAAAAAAGAUCCCAUCCUUGUGUCCAAAUGUAAGCAUAUCCUAAAACUCGCACGACUUUGUGAACUAUUUGGUAGUUCUUCCAUUAUUUCCUUAAUUUUUCCUAGCUUGACAUGGUGAAAGUAAAUGGUAUAUCAAAAGUAAUUCCAUCGUGAAGGAAUUGAUAGAGAAUUCCUUACUCACUUUGCUGCAAGUCAAAUCUAUGAAGAAAGGGGUUAACGUUUGAAAAUCUGGAAAUUCUUAAAUGGCUCUCUUUUUUGCAUUAGAUAAGACUUUUUUUUCUGCAGUAAAAAUAGUAUUAUAAUUUAAUUGUUUUGGUUCAUGCCUUUACGUGCCUAAAAAAUAUAGCAGUUUCUGUUUUUAUUAUGUAUUGUCACGACAGGGACUAAAACAAGUGAAGAAGAAUAUUUUAUGGAUCAAAAUCAAAAGAUAGGACUAAAAAAAGUGUCAUAUUUACAAGAAUAAAAAACAUAUUUAGGUAAUUAUUUUAUUACAUUGCUGAAAUGAAUCCAAUAUUUGUACCAUAUAUGUAGACAACUAAUUAAGGAAAUUUUUAGUUCGCCUUUUUUUGUUCUUGAUUGUAGUUUAUAGCUCUAGGUAAUUGUUUGGUUAAAAAUUUUAGAUGUUAAUUUAUAGGGAAUUAUCAUUUUUGGUUCAUUAUUUUUUAGAAUUUUUUUUAUAUUGAUAGGUUUAGUUUUAAAAUUUUUAUUUUAGUCCUUUAUGUUUUUAAAAGUUUUAUUUUGAUACAUUAAAUUUUAAAAUUUUUAUUUUGGUUAUUUAUAUUUUUUGAAACUUCUAUUUUAAUAUUUUUUUUUUGUUUUCUGUAAAAAAUAUUAGUGUUAUGUUAAUCUUGGGUUUCUAGGCAUUUGGAUUUGGUAUAUGUGAGGGUAUUGUUUUGUAAUGGUAACUAGGAACACAAAAAAAUUAUUAGGUUUGACUUGUGAAAAAAAUAAGUGGUUCAAACGUGAUUUAUUUAUUUAAAUGAGUUUAAUUAAAAGUUAGGAUUUGUUUUGUUUAAAAAAAAAAAGAAACUAAAGUUUACGCUUGAUUUGUCUUAUUUAAAAAAGUAAAGCUUAAAUUCGGCUUGUCUUAGCUUAUUCAAUUCACUUAUGACUUAAUUUUCUUAAUUUAAAAAAGAAAUUAUUAAAUUAUUUAACUUAAUUAAUUUAGUAUUUAAUAAAAAUAGGUUAUUAAACAUGUAAUAUGAUAUGGUGAGACUUACGUGUGUGUGUAUAUAUAUAAACAAAUUAUUCAUUAGUCGAACUUGAGAAGUUUACGAAUAUUUUGACUCAUUUAUGCUCUUAAUUGUAACACUUUGAUUCUCAUCUUAUUUUUAUUAAAUUUUUUUUUUCAUUAUUUCUAAUCAUCAAUGUACUGGAAAACUUAAAUUACGAGAGACACAAUUAAGAAUAUUGAGUAUAUUCACUUAUAAUUUUUAAUAAUUUAUUUGAAACAAAGUGAAACAAUUGUUAAAAUAUUCAAAAUACACUUAAAAGUAGUUAUUAUUAGGGAAAAUUAAUAGAAGUAAUUAAAAGUUUGAGAAAAAUACAAUUCUAAGAUUAAAAUAGUAAUCAGAAUAAUAAAAUAUAAUUUAAGAAUUUUGGGAAUUAAUUAAAAUUCUUGUGUAAAAUGAUUAAAAUAUCCUUAAUUGACUGCAAAUGUAGAACCGUAGACUUUUUAACCAAAAUAAAAUUUAAGAAAUACUCUACAUUUUAAUUUUAAUUAUAAAAAUUAUUUUAAGCUUAAAAAUCUAAAAAAUUCAACAUCUAAUUUUUUUAACUAAAGUGAUUUAUUUCAGAUUUUCAAUAACAAUAUAAUCAUGGCUAAAUUAGUUUGUUGGUCCAAUAAUAUAUUUUUAGGUUUAAUUUUGUUCUCUUACUGAUCAUGAAUUCAAUUUAAUCAUCUAAUUUAGUGGUGAUUUUAAAUGGCUAAAAAAUAUACAUUUAGAUGGUUGGACAAAAUUUGCAUUACACAACCACUUGCAUUGAUUUUAAAAAUCAAAGGAUCAAAUUCAACAAAAAAAAAGACUAAAUCAAACUAAUCUUAAAAAUUAGAACAUGAAAUCAAAUAAAAAAAGAGAAAAAAAAAUUAAUUUAACCUAUAAUAUAAAUAAUAUAUAAUAUGUAUCCAUUAAUAAAUAAAAUAAUUAUUAGGAAAUGAAAUCGAAUACACAAUAACAAUAAUAAUAAGUAGCUAUAUAUAUAAAGCGUAUACAAAAUUAAUACAGAUCAAUAUAGAGAGUAAAUAAAAGUUAUAUUGCAACAAAUAAUUAAUGUUAAGAAGGAUAGUAGAAUUUUAAUUAUUUGAUGAAAGAAAAGCAACAAGGUACUAAAUCACAUUACAGAAGUUUCCUUCCCCCAAUUGACUUCCACUUCCCUGUUAACGGCCCAAAUCCUCAGCUACCUGCGCAUAACAAAACUUAUUAUUUAUCAGUUGUGACUCGGCUCGUUCCCUCACAAUAGUUAAGUAUUGAUAUAUAUAUAUAUAUAUAUAUAUAUAUAUAUAUAUAUAUAUAUAUAUAUAUAUAUAUAUAUAUAUAUAUAUAUAUAUAUAUAUAUAUAUAUAUAUAUAUAUAUAUAUAUCGUGAUUUCUUACCUUAAUUAAAACAGUGAGUUUAUUGAACAUAUAGUCUGAAUCAGUGGAGCAAAAGAGCACAAUUGCAGCAACUGUAGAUGCUAUUUUCCAAGGAGUGUUGAAGUAAUCGUGUUUGAAGAUAGCCUUGUACUUGUUGCAAGGACUUUCAUAGAAAUCAUUUAAGCUAUUGCAGAGAGAGAAAUACACUGGAUUGAAACGUGGCAUCCCAAUAUUUGAGCCCAGACUGUUAACCAUUGUAGCCACUGCAUUAGCAUCACCCAUCCAAUUGACAAUAAUUUUCUUAUCAACUAGUACAUUCACAUCUUUUUCAGUGUUGAUAAGAAAAUCUAGAAUCUUUCGGUAUUGAGUAAUGAUGUUUGUAUCAUCUGAAAGGUGACAUUCCUCAAAUGCCACUAUAUUCCUGAAGAACACUUCUGAAUCGUCAGCUAUAUUCAAGAUUGGCAUUGUCAACACACCGUCACUAGAAUAGGUCAAGUCAAGUAAGCAUUCAUUUUCAUUUGGACUGACCUUGAAUUUAAGACCUGCCUCCCGCAGUUGGCCUGCACUGUAUACAUGUUUUAUUACUUUGCAUUCUUCUUCUUUUCUAAGAACAAAUUUUGAUGAUGAUAUUAUGCUAGUUCUCAUAAGAUCGGUGAAGUGCUUUGGGGACUCUGUUGGGCACCAUGUUCCACAUCCCACACGCUUCAAGCAGUUGAAAGAAAUAUGAAGAAAGGAGGGAAAUUCCUGAUUCAUACCAGCGAGGUUGUAAAGUUGUUUAAGAACAAAGAAAGGAAGCUGAUUUUCUAGUAGUAUCAAGUCGCUCUUAAUUUGCAUUCGCAUCCAGUCUUUUAGCAACACAGGGUCCUUUCCCCGCCAAUAGUUGUAUCUAUAGAGUCUCAAAAAAAGCUCAAUUAUGAAGCAACCAUCAAUGAGAAUCAUCUUUAAGAAAUCAUCGCUGUUAUAUUUAAUACGCACUGCAUAACAACUUCGAAUUUUGUCUUCCAACGCUUGAAGUGUGACAACAAAGGUUCCCAUAGGUAUUUGGGUUCGAUUUAGAAAUGCCUUGAGAUACUUCACUUUAAGCUCUUCCAUUGACUCAAAAAUGAUGUCUUCCUUUCCAGCAUCACGUGCUUUGUGUAAAGGGCCAAUUGAAACAAUUUGAGGUGUGUAAGCUUUGGGAUUAGUUUCACGAAUGACUGGUGGUACUCUAUAAAUGCAUUGCAUAUCGAAUGCAUACAUUUCUGGAGGUUGGACAUUUUGAAGCUCGUUGGUUAAUGUUGUCUUCAAACAUUGUUGUUUACUUAAUGAAUCACUUAUUUGUCCUUCCAUUU
RNAcentral lists this long non-coding RNA (21467 nucleotides) under Glycine max (soybean). RNAcentral's name for it is "long non-coding RNA (GMAX_LNC003730)". Lineage: Eukaryota; Viridiplantae; Streptophyta; Magnoliopsida; Fabales; Fabaceae. The record is from RNAcentral.